RNAcentral lists this ribosomal RNA (506 nucleotides) under uncultured bacterium. RNAcentral describes it as "partial 16S ribosomal RNA". It matches the Rfam family "Bacterial small subunit ribosomal RNA", at positions 29 to 523 of the family's 1533-position model. The record is from RNAcentral.
AGUGAACGCUGGCGGUAGGCCUAACACAUGCAAGUCGAACGGCAGCACAGGAGAGCUUGCUCUCUGGGUGGCGAGUGGCGGACGGGUGAGGAAUACAUCGGAAUCUACUUUUUCGUGGGGGAUAUCGUAGGGAAACUUACGCUAAUACCGCAUACGACCUACGGGUGAAAGCAGGGGACCUUCGGGCCUUGCGCGAUUGAAUGAGCCGAUGUCGGAUUAGCUAGGUGGCGGGGUAAAGGCCCACAAAGGCGACGAUCCGUAGCUGGUCUGAGAGGAUGACCCGCCACACUGGAACUGAGACACGGUCCAGACUCCUACGGGAGGCAGCAGUGGGGAAUAUUGGACAAUGGGCGCAAGCCUGAUCCAGCCAUACCGCGUGGGUGAAGAAGGCCUUCGGGUUGUAAAGCACUUUUGUUGGGAAAGAAAUCCAGCUGGCUAAUACCCGGUUGGGAUGACGGUACCCAAAGAAUAAGCACCGGCUAACUUCGUGCCAGCCGCCGCCGUAA